GUGUCAGCAGCCGUGGUAAUACGAAGGGGGCUAGCGUUGUUCAGAUUUACUGGGCGUAAAGCGCACGUAGGCGGACUUUUAAGUCAGGGGUGAAAUCCCGGGGCUCAACCCCGGAACUGCCUUUGAUACUGGAAGUCUUGGGUAUGGUAGAGGUGAGUGGAAUUCCGAGUGUAGAGGUGAAAUUCGUAGAUAUUCGGAGGAACACCAGUGGCGAAGGCGGCUCACUGGACCAUUACUGACGCUGAGGUGCGAAAGCGUGGGGAGCAAACAGGAUUAGAAACCCUUGUAGUCC
RNAcentral lists this ribosomal RNA (292 nucleotides) under uncultured Ochrobactrum sp. Its description in RNAcentral is "partial 16S ribosomal RNA". It matches the Rfam family "Bacterial small subunit ribosomal RNA", at positions 505 to 796 of the family's 1533-position model. Lineage: Bacteria; Pseudomonadati; Pseudomonadota; Alphaproteobacteria; Hyphomicrobiales; Brucellaceae. The record is from RNAcentral.